Molecule: long non-coding RNA, 1883 nt
Organism: Astatotilapia calliptera (eastern happy)
Lineage: Eukaryota; Metazoa; Chordata; Actinopteri; Cichliformes; Cichlidae
Source: Ensembl
GUAGUCAGUGUGUAGUUAGUGUGUAGUUAGUGUGUAGUCAGUGUGUAGUCAGUGUGUAGUUAGUGUGUAGUUAGUGUGUAGUCAGUGUGUAGUUAGUGUGUAGUUAGUGUGUAGUCAGUGUGUAGUCAGUGUGUAGUUAGUGUGUAGUUAGUGUGUAGUCAGUGUGUAGUUAGUGUGUAGUUAGUGUGUAGUCAGUGUGUAGUUAGUGUGUAGUUAGUGUGUAGUCAGUGUGUAGUCAGUGUGUAGUUAGUGUGUAGUCAGUGUGUAGUCAGUGUGUAGUUAGUGUGUAGUUAGUGUGUAGUCAGUGUGUAGUCAGUGUGUAGUCAGUGUGUAGUUAGUGUGUAGUUAGUGUGUAGUCAGUGUGUAGUUAGUGUGUAGUCAGUGUGUAGUCAGUGUGUAGUUAGUGUGUAGUCAGUGUGUAGUUAGUGUGUAGUUAGUGUGUAGUCAGUGUGUAGUUAGUGUGUAGUUAGUGUGUAGUCAGUGUGUAGUUAGUGUGUAGUCAGUGUGUAGUCAGUGUGUAGUCAGUGUGUAUGUAGUGUGUAGUCAGUGUGUAGUUAGUGUGUAGUUAGUGUGUAGUUAGUGUGUAGUCAGUGUGUAGUUAGUGUGUAGUCAGUGUGUAGUUAGUGUGUAGUCAGUGUGUAGUCAGUGUGUAGUCAGUGUGUAGUGAGUGUGUAGUGAGCGUGUAGUUAGUGCGUAGUUAGUGCGUAGUCAGUGUGUAGUUAGUGUGUAGUUAGUGUGUAGUUAGUGUGUAGUCAGUGUGUAGUUAGUGUGUAGUUAGUGUGUAGUCAGUGUGUAGUUAGUGUGUAGUUAGUGUGUAGUUAGUGUGUAGUCAGUGUGUAGUUAGUGUGUAGUUAGUGUGUAGUCAGUGUGUAGUUAGUGUGUAGUUAGUGUGUAGUCAGUGUGUAGUCAGUGUGUAGUUAGUGUGUAGUUAGUGUGUAGUCAGUGUGUAGUCAGUGUGUAGUUAGUGUGUAGUCAGUGUGUAGUCAGUGUGUAGUUAGUGUGUAGUUAGUGUGUAGUCAGUGUGUAGUUAGUGUGUAGUCAGUGUGUAGUCAGUGUGUAGUUAGUGUGUAGUCAGUGUGUAGUCAGUGUGUAGUCAGUGUGUAGUUAGUGUGUAGUUAGUGUGUAGUCAGUGUGUAGUUAGUGUGUAGUCAGUGUGUAGUCAGUGUGUAGUUAGUGUGUAGUUAGUGUGUAGUGAGCGUGUAGUUAGUGUGUAGUUAGUGUGUAGUCAGUGUGUAGUCAGUGUGUAGUUAGUGUGUAGUCAGUGUGUAGUUAGUGUGUAGUCAGUGUGUAGUCAGUGUGUAGUUAGUGUGUAGUUAGUGUGUAGUCAGUGUGUAGUCAGUGUGUAGUUAGUGUGUAGUCAGUGUGUAGUCAGUGUGUAGUUAGUGUGUAGUUAGUGUGUAGUCAGUGUGUAGUUAGUGUGUAGUCAGUGUGUAGUCAGUGUGUAGUUAGUGUGUAGUCAGUGUGUAGUCAGUGUGUAGUCAGUGUGUAGUUAGUGUGUAGUCAGUGUGUAGUUAGUGUGUAGUCAGUGUGUAGUCAGUGUGUAGUUAGUGUGUAGUUAGUGUGUAGUGAGCGUGUAGUUAGUGUGUAGUUAGUGUGUAGUCAGUGUGUAGUUAGUGUGUAGUUAGUGUGUAGUUAGUGUGUAGUCAGUGUGUAGUUAGUGUGUAGUUAGUGUGUAGUCAGUGUGUAGUUAGUGUGUAGUUAGUGUGUAGUCAGUGUGUAGUUAGUGUGUAGUCAGUGUGUAGUCAGUGUGUAGUCAGUAGUGUUGUUGUGUGUCAGAACAAUGAGGCGCCUGCUGAGUGUUACAGGUGUUACAGCAGUGACACAUCUGCUGCUGUCAGGCCUGCAGGUAUCAGGCUGUUGUUCUCCUUCAUCUCAUAGUGGAC